Molecule: ribosomal RNA, 95 nt
Filed under: Pelomys fallax (creek groove-toothed swamp rat)
Lineage: Eukaryota; Metazoa; Chordata; Mammalia; Rodentia; Muridae
Description: partial large subunit ribosomal RNA
Source: RNAcentral
GAAUAAAAAAUCCUCCGAAUGAUUUUAACAUAGACUGACCAGUCGAAGUAACAUUUAAAAUCUUAUUGAUCCAAAACCAUUUGAUCAACGGACCA